GGCUGUUCUUCUACCUUUCAUUGAUGAGGAGGAUGAUGACCAUUUCCUGGUUGUGGAAAGAAUUUCCCUUUCUAAUGGGCCAAAAAUGCUUUAAAUAUCUUGGGCUAAACUCAGAAGCGAUGUAUAAGUCUCAGGGAGGUCAACAGAGAUUAAGGAUUCUCCGGAAGACAAUUCAGAACACACGUCAGACAUCUGGGCCCUGGGUGAAAAUGCAGAAUUCCAACGGAAUCAAUGGAGUCACCCAGAUGAGGAAGUAGCCCAUGAUGGAUCUGGAAGAAGAUGAUAUUGCGAAUCUCAAAAGAAGGAAUCAUUGGUGAAGCAGUGUAGUUUUUAAACCAAAUUGAUUGAGAUGACAUCUCCUUUCAGUUGCAUAACCAAGAUUUUGGAUUUGGA
This is a long non-coding RNA of Mauremys reevesii (Reeves's turtle), 393 nucleotides long. RefSeq lists it as uncharacterized. The transcript is spliced from 3 exons. The record is from RefSeq and is a predicted model, not a curated record. Lineage: Eukaryota; Metazoa; Chordata; Testudines; Geoemydidae.